AAGAAAGUGGCAGAGGGGCUAUGUGAUUGGCUUGAAACCAACUUACGGGGGUUCGAAUCCUUCCUUUCUCG
Molecule: transfer RNA, 71 nt
Filed under: Plesiops nakaharae
Lineage: Eukaryota; Metazoa; Chordata; Actinopteri; Plesiopidae
Description: tRNA-Ser(UCN)
Rfam family: tRNA
About the family: Transfer RNA (tRNA) molecules are approximately 80 nucleotides in length. Their secondary structure includes four short double-helical elements and three loops (D, anti-codon, and T loops). Further hydrogen bonds mediate the characteristic L-shaped molecular structure. tRNAs have two regions of fundamental functional importance: the anti-codon, which is responsible for specific mRNA codon recognition, and the 3' end, to which the tRNAs corresponding amino acid is attached (by aminoacyl-tRNA synthetases). tRNAs cope with the degeneracy of the genetic code in two manners: having more than one tRNA (with a specific anti-codon) for a particular amino acid; and 'wobble' base-pairing, i.e. permitting non-standard base-pairing at the 3rd anti-codon position.
Source: RNAcentral